CCUACGGGAGGCAGCAGUGAGGAAUAUUGGUCAAUGGGCGGAAGCCUGAACCAGCCAAGUAGCGUGCGGGAUGAAGGCCCUACGGGUCGUAAACCGCUUUUGCACGGGGAUAACACCCUCCACUUGUGGAGUUCUGCAGGUACCGUGCGAAUAAGGAUCGGCUAACUCCGUGCCAGCAGCCGCGGUAAUACGGAGGAUCCGAGCGUUAUCCGGAUUUAUUGGGUUUAAAGGGAGCGUAGGCGGGUUGUUAAGUCAGUUGUGAAAGUUUGCGGCUCAACCGUAAAAUUGCAGUUGAUACUGGCAGCCUUGAGUACAGUAGAGGUAGGCGGAAUUCGUGGUGUAGCGGUGAAAUGCUUAGAUAUCACGAAGAACUCCGAUUGCGAAGGCAGCCUGCUGGACUGUAACUGACGCUGAUGCUCGAAAGUGUGGGUAUCAAACAGGAUUAGAUACCCUAGUAGUC
Molecule: ribosomal RNA, 460 nt
Filed under: uncultured bacterium
Lineage: Bacteria
Description: partial 16S ribosomal RNA
Rfam family: Bacterial small subunit ribosomal RNA
Source: RNAcentral